This 401-nucleotide ribosomal RNA is filed under the name uncultured bacterium. RNAcentral's name for it is "bacterial SSU rRNA". It matches the Rfam family "Bacterial small subunit ribosomal RNA", at positions 29 to 428 of the family's 1533-position model. The record is from RNAcentral.
AGUGAACGCUGGCGGUAGGCCUAACACAUGCAAGUCGAACGGCAGCACAGGAGAGCUUGCUCUCUGGGUGGCGAGUGGCGGACGGGUGAGGAAUACAUCGGAAUCUACCUUUUUCGUGGGGAUAACGUAGGGAAACUUACGCUAAUACCGCAUACGACCUACGGGUGAAAGUGGGGACCGCAAGGCCUCACGCGAUUAGAUGAGCCGAUGUCCGAUUAGCUAGUUGGCGGGGUAAUGGCCCACCAAGGCGACGAUCGGUAGCUGGUCUGAGAGGAUGAUCAGCCACACUGGAACUGAGACACGGUCCAGACUCCUACGGGAGGCAGCAGUGGGGAAUAUUGGGCAAUGGGCGCAAGCCUGAUCCAGCCAUACCGCGUGGGUGAAGAAGGCCUCGGUUGUAA